This 1321-nucleotide long non-coding RNA is filed under the name Olea europaea subsp. europaea. The record is from RNAcentral. Lineage: Eukaryota; Viridiplantae; Streptophyta; Magnoliopsida; Lamiales; Oleaceae.
UGAACUUUGAGCUAUGUUACUUGUAUUGUUUUUUUGACAGCUUCUUUGACAAAUGCUGAAGUGGCAUGCACCUUAGCGCUUGGUUUGAACUUCAUAAAUUCAACAAUUAUGCUACAUGUAUAUCUUUUUUCACAUUAUUUUUGACAUUGUGCCAUGUAGCGACACAUGGUUGGACAAUUUAAAACACAGUUUCUUACCCAACGCUUUUUGAAUUCCAACGGAGUGUACACAAACAUCUAAACUAAAGGAUGUACACUUAGCAUUAAUUUAAAUUCAAAAUAAAGGGUUGAGGUGCAUGCCAUCUCAGCAUCCAUCGAACUUUCUGUCUGUACAAGUAACUUAAUUCUUGAACUUUUAAGUUUGUAUCUAAUUCGUGUAGGUUAUAAUUAAAACUAAAAAAGUUAUUUCUAUUGAAUUAAAGAAUAUAGAGACAUUUGUUAAUACAACUGACAAUCAAUUUUGUGCAGAGCAAGAACAAGUGGAUACCAGCACAGCAGCUUAUUAUUCAUAAAGAGAAAGAAGGGUGGACAUCGCACAAGGUUCUCUCUCUCUCUCAAUAUGUUGAUCAUUACUUUUCCUUUAUCUAAUGAAGUAAAUAAGGUUAUCCCAUCUUUAACUAUAUAGAUGAGGUGGUUUAUGUACAUGUACAAACGCUUAUUCACACAAUGAUAAACAAUCUGUAAAUUUCACUGAAGAAGAUGAUGAGCAAUUUAUAUGUUGAUUGCAUAUAGUGUAGCACCAUGGUGGUUGAGCUUUGAAAUGCGACUUUGCUGGAUACUGGUGGAAAGAUAGAUGCAAAAAACUUGGUAAAAAAUACACGUUAUAAUGCAUAUCUUGUGUUCAAGCUCAAAGAAGGGUCGAAAGGCCUAGAGUGAGCCAAAGCAAUAGUUAGGUUUGCUGAGGACAUAGCUCCAGGAAUAGAUCAUAGGCUACCGAUGUAUUCCUUGUCAGUAAAACAGGAGCUGACGUUGGACACGUUCUGCGAUCUCUAAACUAUGGGUGGAAGGAGAUUUAAUUUGGAGAUUUCAUGCCUAGCGAGGAAGAUAAAGGUCAGGUAGAAAUGCGACUCUUUGAGAAGGAGGAACGCAAUCCGAAGUCUGGUCUUAUCAUCAAAGGAAUUGAAGUUCGUCUGAAUUGAAUAGAACAAGUAUUUGUCCUAAUAUGAUGCUCUACUAUUAUAAAUAAACCUGACAAGUGCUAUUUCACGUGUGUUUCCAUGGUUUUUCCGUGGGUAAAAAACUUGUUUGGGUAUUGAAUUAAUAUGAUAGCUUCUAUUUAGUCAUCGAUCUUUUGCAUCCUCUUUCGGAGUUUUGGGUGCCCA